Molecule: ribosomal RNA, 398 nt
Filed under: Gilliamella apicola
Lineage: Bacteria; Pseudomonadati; Pseudomonadota; Gammaproteobacteria; Orbales; Orbaceae
Also listed under: 1 other name
Description: bacterial LSU rRNA
Rfam family: Bacterial large subunit ribosomal RNA
Source: RNAcentral
ACCCGAAACCGACACAGGUGGUCAGGUAGAGAAUACUCAGGCGCUUGAGAGAACUCGGGUGAAGGAACUAGGCAAAAUGGUGCCGUAACUUCGGGAGAAGGCACGCUGAUGUUAAUUGAAGUCCCAUGCGGAUGGAGGUGAAAUCAGUCGAAGAUACCAGCUGGCUGCAACUGUUUAAUAAAAACACAGCACUGUGCAAACACGAAAGUGGACGUAUACGGUGUGACGCCUGCCCGGUGCUGGAAGGUUAAUUGAUGGGGUUAUGCGUAAGCAGAAGCUCCUGAUCGAAGCCCCAGUAAACGGCGGCCGUAACUAUAACGGUCCUAAGGUAGCGAAAUUCCUUGUCGGGUAAGUUCCGACCUGCACGAAUGGCGUAAUGAUGGCCAGGCUGUCUCCAC